Molecule: ribosomal RNA, 1746 nt
Filed under: uncultured Sebacina mycobiont of Phleum pratense
Lineage: Eukaryota; Fungi; Basidiomycota; Agaricomycetes; Sebacinales; Sebacinaceae
Description: eukaryotic LSU rRNA
Rfam family: Eukaryotic large subunit ribosomal RNA (bases 604-1746)
Source: RNAcentral
GUUCCGUAGGUGAACCUGCGGAAGGAUCAUUAAUGAACUUCAAGUCGGUCGUCUGUGCUGGUGGUAACACAUGUGCACGUCGACCGCAAAUCCACACACCUGUGCACCUUUGACUUUGGGAUCCGCUGGUUGGCUUGUCUGACUUGCAGCUGGUUGACUUGUGUGUCRGCCUGGGUCUCAGGGUAUUUUUACACACUCUGAAUGUAAUGGAAUGUCACUGUGCAUAACACGCAUAAUAACAACUUUCAACAACGGAUCUCUUGGCUCUCGCACCGAUGAAGAACGCAGCGAAAUGCGAUAAGUAAUGUGAAUUGCAGAAUUCAGUGAAUCAUCGAAUCUUUGAACGCACCUUGCACCCUUUGGUAUUCCGAAGGGUACACCCGUUUGAGUGUCAUUGUAAUCUCACUCUGACAGCUUUUGUUGUCAGAUGUGGACUUGGACCCUGUCGUAUAACCAUGACUGGUCUCAAAUGCAUGAGUGCACCCUGCUUUUGCAGCGUUGUCAGUGUGAUAAGCAUCUUCACUGAUACAAGCUCCCUCUGGGACACGUCUGCAUAUGGUGGGCUCUGUGCUUCCAACUGUCUGUGGACAACCUUUGACAAUUUGACCUCAAAUCGGGUGGGACUACCCGCUGAACUUAAGCAUAUCAAUAAGCGGAGGAAAAGAAACUAACAAGGAUUCCCCUAGUAACGGCGAGUGAAGAGGGAAGAGCUCAAAUUUUGAAUCUGGUGUCUUUGUCACCUGAGUUGUAAUCUAGAGAAGUGUUUUCUGCCUCGGACCACGCAUAAAUUCCCUGGAAUGGGGUGUCAAAGAGGGUGAGAAUCCCGUUUGUGGUGUGGACUCCCUUGGCUUUGUGAUACACUCUCAACGAGUCGAGUUGUUUGGGAAUGCAGCUCAAAAUGGGUGGUAAAUUCCAUCUAAAGCUAAAUAUUGGCGAGAGACCGAUAGCGAACAAGUACCGUGAGGGAAAGAUGAAAAGCACUUUGGAAAGAGAGUGAAACAGUACGUGAAAUUGUUGAAAGGGAAGCGUUUGAAGUCAGUCGCAUCUGCCGGAACUCAGCCUUGCUUCUGCUUGGUGUACUUUCUGGUUGAUGGGUCAGCAUCAAUUUCGACCAAGGGAGAAAGGCUUGGGGAAUGUGACUGCCUCUGGGCAGUGUUAUAGCCCCUUGUUGUAUGUCUUGGUUGGGAUUGAGGAAUGCAGCGCGCCUUUUGGCCGGGGUUCGCGCCCUCGGUACGCGCUUAGGAUGCUGGCAUAAUGGCUUUAAGCGACCCGUCUUGAAACACGGACCAAGGAGUCUAACAUGUGCGCGAGUGUUUAGGUGUUAAACCUGGGCGCGUAAUGAAAGUGAAAGGUCGGGAUCAUGUACUUGUGCACCGACGCCCGGAGCAGACCUUCUGUGACGCAUCCGCGGUAGAGCGUAUAUGUUGGGACCCGAAAGAUGGUGAACUAUGCCUGAAUAGGGUGAAGUCAGAGGAAACUCUGAUGGAGGCUCGUAGCGAUUCUGACGUGCAAAUCGAUCGUCAAAUUUGGGUAUAGGGGCGAAAGACUAAUCGAACCAUCUAGUAGCUGGUUCCUGCCGAAGUUUCCCUCAGGAUAGCAGAAACUCAUUAUCAGCCUUGUGCGGUAAAGCGAAUGAUUAGAGGCCUUGGGGUUGAAACAACCUUAACCUAUUCUCAAACUCUAAAUGUGCAAGAUAGAGUUGUCACUUGAUUGGACUUCUCUGUGGGUGAGAGUUUCUAGUGGGCA